RNAcentral lists this ribosomal RNA (253 nucleotides) under Blautia obeum. Its description in RNAcentral is "partial 16S ribosomal RNA". It matches the Rfam family "Bacterial small subunit ribosomal RNA", at positions 524 to 776 of the family's 1533-position model. Lineage: Bacteria; Bacillati; Bacillota; Clostridia; Lachnospirales; Lachnospiraceae. The record is from RNAcentral.
UACGUAGGGGGCGAGCGUUAUCCGGAUUUACUGGGUGUAAAGGGAGCGUAGACGGACUGGCAAGUCUGAUGUGAAAGGCGGGGGCUCAACCCCUGGACUGCAUUGGAAACUGUUAGUCUUGAGUGCCGGAGAGGUAAGCGGAAUUCCUAGUGUAGCGGUGAAAUGCGUAGAUAUUAGGAGGAACACCAGUGGCGAAGGCGGCUUACUGGACGGUAACUGACGUUGAGGCUCGAAAGCGUGGGGAGCAAACAGG